Molecule: long non-coding RNA, 3258 nt
Organism: Bos taurus (domestic cattle)
Lineage: Eukaryota; Metazoa; Chordata; Mammalia; Artiodactyla; Bovidae
Source: Ensembl
UCCCAGAGCCACUGUCUCCGUGGGAAGCUCCCCAGCAGCAUGCACGAGGCAGAAAGCGGACGCGAUGGCCGCUCGCACUCACUCUUCUCACUGUGACAGUCGGCUCCGCACGGGCGGCAGGGACUAGCCUCUGGGAUCCUCAAACCUUGACUUUGUCUACAGAAUCCACUGUGCCUUCCUCAGACGAGAGGGUCUUUGGUUUUAUUCGAAUUUUCCAAAGAAAAAGGUAAAAUGCAAGACCUCCCUCCUCCAGCCCCGCCGGGUCUCCACUGGGAGCUGGUGAUUCACAGCUGCCCACGCCAGACACCCCACCCCAGGGAGGCCCGGGGCACCCCCCUGGUCCUUCACCACCUCCCCUCUCUAAGCGCCAGCUGCCCAGCGGGUCACCUACCUCGUCUUCAUUUCCUGGGUGCUUCCGGAAGCUCUGGCCCCCUUUUCUGAUUGAUCGCUCUCCAGUUCAUCAGAGGAGCGUGCAGACCCUGGGCCUGAGUCCACUCUGGGCUGGCAGGAGCUCUUGCAGCUCCAUCCUCACUCCCUGGAUUAGUAUUAGGAAAUCCACCCCCACCCCACCCCACAUCCUGCUGCAGCCUCUGGGCGCUGGCCUGGCACGGAACCAGGAGGGGCAGGGGGCACCAUGCCGGCUGGGGAGACGGAGACGGUCCAGCCGGAGCCUUGCUCUGGCCCCAGUGCAUCUAAGGUUUGUCUUCAUUACGUUUGAGCUUGCACCAGGGGUCCCGAACCUCCAGGCUGCAGACCAGUACCUCCAGUCAGAUCAGCGACAGCACGAGAUUAAAGAUAAAGCGCACAGAUAUGUUGGGAUUAUAAUCAUAUUGUCAAAAGGAAGGAAAUUGGAAGUCACCCCAGGGAAAAUACUCCAGUCUAUUUGAAUAAUUAGGUAAGGCUGGGCUUUUUGCUGCUGUUGGUUGGUCUUAUUUAAAAAAAAAAAAAAGAUUCUGUGUGUGUGUGUGUGUGUGUGUGUGUGUGUGUUGGGGGCUUUAGCAGAGACCCGCCACAGACACAAGUGUCCACCUCGUCCAGGGCCUGGUUCCGAGGGCAUAAGGCCCCUGGCUCCAUCCACAUGACUCUUGACUUCUCCGAAAGGGCUCAUCUGCUCAGGACCUUGGCCUGUCAUUCUCUCUGCUUGGCUACCAGGAUAUAAAACACUUGGGAGAAAUCACGGAUUUUCUGUCUCUAAAGAUUUCCAGGUUGAGAAAUGGUCCUCUUCAGGUCUGGAGGCUGCACCCUAGACUGUGUGAGCUGUCCGUCUCUUCCUCCAGGGAAUUCUGAGUUCGGCACAGGCCUGGGGGUUCUACAAUGUUUUCCAAGGGAAGCCAUCAGCUACCUGGUGGCUGGGGGGCAGCCAGGGAUUGCGGGAAGGGAGUCUUCCUGCCUCUGAGGGAAGGUUUCUGUCCUGGCAGGGACCCGCACUGGUAAAAUGAGCCUCAGCUCCCAGCCCCAACCAGGCGGUGGGCGCUCUCUCUCGUGUCUGUUUCCAGGAGGGUAAAGACUUUUGCGAUCGCCAGUUGUGCGGUUGGUUUGUGAGUCAUUGUGGAGCACUUGGCCGGGCCGGAGACAGCAAGAAGCAAUUAGUCCUCUGAUCGACGCGGUUUGUCAACAUAAAAGGUUUGGGCUGAAGGGCCGCCAGAUGACACCCACUGCUUGGCACGCCCGCGAUGGCCACAGGCCUUCGUUGUUUAUUCCUCCCGCCUGAAAAACGCCCCGGGGGUGAGAGAAGGGGGCGGGCCCGAGCUGGAGGUGGGGCGCAGCUGCCGUCCAUCUGAGCCCCUCCGCCGGCGGAGCAGAGCCCCUCCCCUCGCGUUAGGGGGCAGGGCUGCUGGGGCCACCUGCUUCCCACUGGGCCAGAGGCCAAUUAUCCAGACGGAGGGACAGCCGGGUCCCCAGGGCAGGGACAGCGAGACACGAGAAAGGGAGUUAAGCGGACGCGCGGAUGGUCAGAGUAAAAGGCCGACUCUUUACCUUCUGAACCACAGGGGAGGCUCCGUGGCCCUUUCUUCAGACAACCUGCUUGCUGUGCAGACCGCCUGGACUCCACCACCUGGAGCUCCUCUUCCAAUGAGGCCGCAGGGCAGUCCCUUCUGUUUGUGACCGACAGCAGGCCGAGCCCAGCCCCCGCCCCGCCCCCGCCCGCCCCGGGACUGCAGGAUUCACUUCCGGCCCUGAAGGAAGGGCUUGUGGGCCUGCCUGCCUGCCUCACCCCUUACCUGUCGGGAGGUCCUGCUUCGGGACCAUACCCGCCUCAUUUGACGGCCGCUUGCGGGGGUCCCCCGCCCGAGUCUCCCGCUCCAUACAACCCCUGAUGGUGUCUUGUGUUGGGCCUGGUUGAUUUCCACACUCUGGUCCCCAGUGUGCAGAGUGCUCCAAGCCGCCUGCUCCCAAGUCUCCAUAUACGACACCAGUGUUUACUUCUGCAAGCUGUCCCCACGGUCAUUGUAGCUGCUUCUGAUCUUUGCUGGGUCUCCUGGUAGCAGCACCGUGGUUUUCCUUUGGGGAGCACUCCUCGGUCGCGCAAACAGCACAGGAUCUGGCCAACUGAUACAUUUCCCUCUCUGGUAUCAAAAUUGGUUCGGGAAUGGGCGUGAGACUAGCGUGGGUCCAGCGAGAGUCAGCCUUGGGACUCAGGCCAGGAAUUCAGAGAGCACGGCGCUCCCUGUCUGCUGGGGCCUCUCAAGUGGAAGGACAAACACGAGCUUCGAAAGACCUCACCAAGGAGAGCCCUCUGGGGCUGAAGCCAGAAGAAUUCAGAGCCUCAAGAGGAGGGGCUGGCGGCGGAGGGGGAGACUGGCCAACCUCUGACGUCACUGGAUCCUUACAUCCAGCUGCCCCAGGUCCCUGGGAGCCAGCAAAUCCUGUCUCUUUUUUCUCUUAAGUCGACUUGACUUGGGUUUUGUUUUACUCAACCCAAAGGAUGCUAAUAACACAGUUCCCAUCCAGGAGGUGGUGGGCAGAUGUGUUCUCAGGACCAGGAGCCCACACCAUGUGAGAGGGAGGCUGGGGAUGGAACCAGUCACUUUGAGAAACAGGACGCAGUGAUAAAGAGAAUCUCAAGUUCCAGUUCUGGAGAAUUCCACAGGUUAGAUGUUUGCAACCAGAGGCCUGGGGGUGUGAGGGCCUUUUCCUAACAGGGCUCUUGGGCCCUGAGGCCACGCUGGCUCUUUGCUGCAGGCCAGCAUCAGCAGCGCCUGCGGAGAAGGACCCUGCCUUCCUGGGGGAGGGGGCCUGUCCCUGAAGCCCCAGUCC